This 765-nucleotide ribosomal RNA is filed under the name Triticum aestivum (bread wheat). RNAcentral describes it as "partial small subunit ribosomal RNA". The record is from RNAcentral. Lineage: Eukaryota; Viridiplantae; Streptophyta; Magnoliopsida; Poales; Poaceae.
AUGUCAUUGGUUACAGAUGUGAGAACACGUUUGGUCAACUGGAGAAAUGAUGGUUGGGAGCCACUCUUGGAAGAUGUCAAAGUGUUUUGCACCAAAAACGACAUUCCAAUACCAAGUAUGGAUGACAUCUUUACAAAGUGGGGUAAAUCAAGAAAAGGUGGACGAAACAAUGUGACGGCUGAUCAUUUUUUUCGUGUGGACACCUUCUAUGCUGCUAUAGACUCCAUCACCACGGAGUUUGAUCAUCGUUUUAAUGAGGUAUCUUCAGAGCUGCUCCAGAACUUCUCUUGUCUUGACCCAAGAAACUCGUUUUCUAGGUUCAACUUGAAUAAGCUUGCUAGGCUCACAGAGAUUUAUCAUGAUGAUUUCUCUGACUAUGAACGUGAACAUAUAGAAGAUAACCUUGAUCUAUUCAUUAUCCAUAUGAGAAGAAUUGAAGACUUUAGAGCUUGUCAUGAUAUUGCAAGCCUAGCUAAAAUGAUGGUUGAACUUGAAAGGCAUGUCAUGUUUCCUACUGUUUAUCGCCUCAUUGAAUUGGCAUUGCUACUACCGGUAGCGACGGCAACUGUUGAAAGGGCCUUCUCAUCAAUGAAAAUUAUCAAGACUGAGUUGCACAGCAAGAUGACCGAUGGUUGGCUUAAUGACUUGAUGGUUUGUUACAUUGAGCGAGAGAUCUUCAAAAGUAUAGAUCUUGGUAAAAUUAAGCAAGAUUUUCAGAAUGAAGGUAGGGCAUUGCCAUUGCCUGGGUCUUCUAGACGCCAUUGA